UAUGGGGUUUCAUUGGAUUCUAUGGGGUUUAUGGGGUUUUAUGGGGUUCCAUAGGGUUCUAUGGGGUUUAUGGAGUUCUAUACAGUUUUAUGGGGUUCUAUGGGGUUUAUGGAGUUCUAUGGGAUUCUUCUAUGGGUUACGGGGUCAGGGGGUAUUGGGAUCUGUGGGAGUCAUAGGGGGUAUUGGGGUUUGUGGAGUGAUAGGGGGACGCUAUGGGGCCAUAUGGGGCCAUGGAGCCAUAUAGGGCCAUAUAGGGCUCUAUGGAGGCGCUGUGAGGCCAUAUGGACACAUGGGGUCAUAUAGGGCCAUACGGGGACUCUAUAGGGCUACAUCAGGCCAGGUGGGGCCAUAUAGGACCAUAUAGGGACGCUAUGGGGCCGUAUGGGGCCAUGGAGCCAUAUAGGGCCAUACGGGGACGCUAUGGGGACAUAUGGGGCCAUAUAGGGCCAUAUGGGGACUCUUGAGGGCUGGUGGGGCCAUAUAGGGUCAUAUGGGGCCAUGGAGCCAUAUAGGGCCAUAUAGGGCUAUAUUGGGAUGCUAUGAGGCCAUACGGGGCCAUCUAGGGCCAUACGGGGCCAUGGAGCCAUAUAGGGCCAUAUAGGGCUAUAUGGGGACGCUGUGAGGCCAUACGGACACAUGGGGCCAUCUAGGGCCAUACGGGGACGCUAUGGGGACAUACGGGGCCAUAUAGGGCCAUACGAGGACACUAUAGGGUUACAUCAGGCCAGGUGGGGUCAUAUAGGAUCAUAUGGGGCCAUAGAGCCAUAUAGGGCCAUAUAGGGCUCUAUGGGGACGCUAUGAGGCCAUAGGGACACAUGGGGCCAUAUAGGGCCAUACGGGGACGCUAUGGGGCUGUAUGGGGUCGGGACGCACCACGAUGGCCUCGCUGGCCCCGGAGGACAGGAAGAUGUUUUGGGGACAGGCAGGGAAUCCAUCGCGGCGCUGCAGGAACUGCGCCACGUCCUCCCGCACCGCGUCCAGCCCCGCGCUGCUGCUCAAUCUCCUCGCUCUCGCUUUGGCGUCUUCUGGGAAAUCGCCGUUCAGGAGCUCGGGGUAAACGCACAGAGCGGCCACCUGGCCGGGGGGGGUCAAAGGUCACGCGGGGGGUCAAAGGUCACACGGGGUCGACGUGGAGUCACGUGGGGUCACGUGAGGUUCCGUGGGGUCGUGGGGGCACUUCAACCCCCCCCCCACAAUGCCCCCCAAAUGGGACGGCGGCCCCACCUGAGGGUCGUAUGGGGGUCACGUGGGGGUCAAAGGUCAAACGGGGUCACACGGGGUCACGUGGGGUCACAUGGGGUCAUAGGGGGGUCACAAGGGGUCACAGGGACACCCCACCCCCUUCAUCGGGGAAUAGGGACAGUGAGGCCACCUGGGGGUCACACGGGGGUCAAAGGUCAUAUGGGGUCACACGGGGUCACGUGGGGUCAUGCGGGGUCACAACGGGUCACAUGGGGACGCCCCACCCUCCACCCCAUGAGCUCAGGGGACGGGGACAGCGAGGCCACCUGGGGGUCACAUAGGGGUCACGUGAGGGGCAAAGGUCACACACGGGGUCAAAGGUCAAAGGUCACGCGGUCACCUGGCGCAGGAAGGUGAUGGGUUUCUGCCCCAUGGCCUGAGCAUCCCCAAGGUUGGCCCGGAUGACCUCUGUGAAGGGGUGGGGGACGCCCUGGGGGGGACAGAGAGGGGUCAUGUGGGGUCACGGGGUCACGGAGGGGUCACAGGGUCAUGUAGGGUCACAGGGUCACAUGGGGGCACGGGGUCAUAUAGAGUUUAUGGGGUUAUGGGGUCAUGGAGGGGUGAUGGAGUCACAUAGGGGUCAUGGGGUUAUGGGGUCAUAUAAGGGUCAUGGGGUCAUGGAGGGGUCAUGGGGUCAUAUAGGGGUCACGGGUCACAUAGAGGUCAUGGGGUCAUAUGGGAGUGAUGGGGUCACACAGGGGUCAUGGGGUUAUGGGGAAAUGGAGGGGUCACGGGGUCAUGGAGGGGUCAUGGGGUCAUAUGGGUCACGGGGUCAUAUGGGGUCACGGGGUCAUAUGGGGUUAUGGGUUAUGGAGGGGUCAUGGGGUCAUGGAGGGGUCAUGGGAUCAUACAGGGGUCACGGAUCACAUAGGGGUCAUGGGGUCAUGGAGGUGUCAUGGGGUCAUAUAGGGGUCACGGGGUCACAAAGGGUUCAUGGGGUCAUAUGGGAGUGAUGGGGUCACACAGGGGUCAUGGGCUUAUGGGGUCAUAUAAGGGUCAUGGGGUCAUGGAGGGGUCAUGGGGUCAUAUAGGGGUCACGGGUCACAUAGGGGUCAUGGGGUUAUGGGGUCGUAUAGGGGUCAUGGGGUCAUAUGGGGUCACGGGGUCAUAUGGGGUCACAGGGUCAUAUGGGGUCAUAGGGUCAUAUAGGGGUGAUGGGGUCACAUAGGGGUUAUGGGGUCGUAUAGGGGUCAUGGGGUCAUGUGGGGUCACAGGCUCAUAUAGGGGUCACAGGGUCACAUAGGGGUCAUAGGGUCAUAUAGGGGUGAUGGGGUCACAUAGGGGUUAUGGGGUCGUAUAGGGGUCAUGGGGUCAUGUGGGGUCACAGGCUCAUAUAGGGGUCACAGGGUCACAUAGG
Molecule: long non-coding RNA, 2599 nt
Organism: Chrysolophus pictus (golden pheasant)
Lineage: Eukaryota; Metazoa; Chordata; Aves; Galliformes; Phasianidae
Source: Ensembl